AAAUAUCCCACGGGAUAGCGAGAGGAUGGACUUAUGGCGCAUUAGCUAGUUGGUGAGGUAGAGGCUCACCAAGGCGACGAUGCGUAGCCGGCCUGAGAGGGCGGACGGCCACACUGGGACUGAGACACGGCCCAGACUCCUACGGGAGGCAGCAGUAGGGAAUUUUCGGCAAUGGGCGAAAGCCUGACCGAGCAACGCCGCGUGAGGGAGGAAGUAUUUCGGUAUGUAAACCUCUGUUAUAAAGGAAGAACGCUGGAUGUAGGGAAUGACAUGCAGGUGACGGUACUUUAUGAGAAAGCCACGGCUAACUACGUGCCAGCAGCCGCGGUAAUACGUAGGUGGCGAGCGUUAUCCGGAAUCAUUGGGCGUAAAGAGGGAGCAGGCGGCAAUAGAGGUCUGCGGUGAAAGCCUGAAGCUAAACUUCAGUAAGCCGUGGAAACCAAAUAGCUAGAGUGCAGUAGAGGAUCGUGGAAUUCCAUGUGUAGCGGUGAAAUGCGUAGAUAUAUGGAGGAACACCAGUGGCGAAGGCGACGAUCUGGGCUGCAACUGACGCUCAGUCCCGAAAGCGUGGGGAGCAAAUAGGAUUAGAUACCCUAGUAGUCCACGCCGUAAACGAUGAGUACUAAGUGUUGGGGGUCAGACCUCAGUGCUGCAGUUAACGCAAUAAGUACUCCGCCUGAGUAGUACGUUCGCAAGAAUGAAACUCAAAGGAAUUGACGGGGGCCCGCACAAGCGGUGGAGCAUGUGGUUUAAUUCGAAGCAACGCGAAGAACCUUACCAGGUCUUGACAUACCGACAAAGGCCCUAGAGAUAGGGAGAUAGCUAUGGCGGAUACAGGUGGUGCAUGGUUGUCGUCAGCUCGUGUCGUGAGAUGUUGGGUUAAGUCCCGCAACGAGCGCAACCCCCGUUGCCAGUUGCCAGCAUUCAGUUGGGGACUCUGGCGAGACUGCCUCUGCAAGGAGGAGGAAGGCGGGGAGGACGUCAAAUCAUCAUGCCCCCUAUGACCUGGGCUACACACGUGCUACAAUGGACGGAUCAGAGGGAAGCGAAGCUGCGAGGUGGAGCGAAACCCAGAAACCCGUUCUCAGUUCGGACUGCAGUCUGCAACUCGACUGCACGAAGUUGGAAUCGCUAGUAAUCGCGAAUCAGCAUGUCGCGGCGAAAAAGAUCUCGGGCCUUGUACUCUCCGCCC
This 1192-nucleotide ribosomal RNA is filed under the name uncultured bacterium. RNAcentral's name for it is "bacterial SSU rRNA". It matches the Rfam family "Bacterial small subunit ribosomal RNA", at positions 202 to 1395 of the family's 1533-position model. The record is from RNAcentral.